This is a non-coding RNA of Pelobates cultripes (western spadefoot toad), 1005 nucleotides long. Lineage: Eukaryota; Metazoa; Chordata; Amphibia; Anura; Pelobatidae. The record is from the annotation of a GenBank genome assembly.
GGGGUUAUGUAGCAGAGUCGGGUUCAGUCUCCAGGUCCAGGGGCGCGCUACGUUUGGGAUUUUUAUUGUUAGGGCUAUGUCCGCGUGAUCUGACCAUGUUAUGUUGCCUAUGGUGGCUGUGUGGACCAUGGGUAGGAGGGAGGGGGAAAUCAAAAAUAGGUCUAUACGUGAGUAAGAGUUGUGUGGGUGUGAAAAGAAUGUAAAGUCAUGUGUGGUUGGGUGUAGAGCUCGCCACACGUCAACCAAUCGUGUUUGGAGGGUGAAUGCUUGUAGCAGUUUAUCUACUUUGGUUGUAGGGGCUGUGUCUUGCCCGUGUUUGCGGGUGCGGUGUCUGUCUGUCGCCGGUGACAACGUAGCAUUGCAAUCUCCUCCAAUAAUUUUGAGGUGGCCUGGGGUCAGUGUCAGGUGGGCCUGUAGUGUAUCCCAGAAUGAUUUGUCAGGGAUGUUCGGUGCAUAGAGUGUUGUGAUGGCAUAUUUGUUGGGGCCUGCCUGGCCUGUGAGUGUCAGGAACCUGCCUUGGGGGUCUCUAAUGACUUGUGUUACGUUUAGGGGACAUGUCUUGCGUAGCAGUAUGGCUACUCCAUUCUGUUUGGUGUUGGGGGAGUUAGCAGUGUAGCAUUCUCUAAAGUGUCGGCUGAGGAGGGGAAACGGUUUGGUCUGGGUGAAGUGAGUUUCUUGUAGAAGUAUUAUAUCUGCUCCUGUGCGGUUCGCCCACCUCAUGAGUCGGUGUCUCUUCGCUGGAUUGUUGAGGCCUUUGCAGUUAAUGGAAAUGCAGGUGAGUUUGGCAGUCAUAGCGUCUGGAUGUUCUCACAGGGGGUGUUGUUUUCUGGGGUUAUUCGUGUGUAUGUGUUAGGGCGGUGCGCCUGGUUAUGAGGAGGGAUAAGGUAAGGGAGGGGGAUGAGGCAGGGGGGUGAGGGUGUGUAUGCCUAGGUUUCGUUUCAAGGAUUGAGUUCUGGGGUUUUACGCCCCGGUGGGGUAUCUGUGUAUGUAGGGACGGGUUGGUCG